RNAcentral lists this ribosomal RNA (404 nucleotides) under bacterium. RNAcentral's name for it is "partial 16S ribosomal RNA". It matches the Rfam family "Bacterial small subunit ribosomal RNA", at positions 355 to 776 of the family's 1533-position model. RNAcentral also lists the same sequence under 3 other names. The record is from RNAcentral.
UGGGGAAUAUUGGACAAUGGGCGCAAGCCUGAUCCAGCCAUGCCGCGUGGGUGAUGAAGGCCCUAGGGUUGUAAAGCCCUUUCAGCGGGGAAGAUAAUGACGGUACCCGCAGAAGAAGCCCCGGCUAACUUCGUGCCAGCAGCCGCGGUAAUACGAAGGGGGCUAGCGUUGCUCGGAAUUACUGGGCGUAAAGCGCACGUAGGCGGCUUUCUAAGUCGGGGGUGAAAUCCUGGAGCUCAACUCCAGAACUGCCUUCGAUACUGGAAAGCUCGAGUCCGGGAGAGGUGAGUGGAACUGCGAGUGUAGAGGUGAAAUUCGUAGAUAUUCGCAAGAACACCAGUGGCGAAGGCGGCUCACUGGCCCGGUACUGACGCUGAGGUGCGAAAGCGUGGGGAGCAAACAGG